CAGGACGAACGCUGGCGGCGUGCCUAACACAUGCAAGUCGAGCGAGGAGAUUCCUCGGGAUGAUCCUAGCGGCGGACGGGUGAGUAACACGUGGGCAACCUGCCUCAUAGAGAGGAAUAGCCUUCCGAAAGGGAGAUUAAUACCUCAUAACAUUGCAGUUUCGCAUGGAACAGCAAUUAAAGGAGUAAUCCGCUAUGAGAUGGGCCCGCGGCGCAUUAGCUAGUUGGUGAGGUAACGGCUCACCAAGGCGACGAUGCGUAGCCGACCUGAGAGGGUGAUCGGCCACAUUGGGACUGAGACACGGCCCAGACUCCUACGGGAGGCAGCAGUGGGGAAUAUUGCACAAUGGGGGAAACCCUGAUGCCAGCAACGCCGCGUGAGUGAUGACGGCCUUCGGGUUGUAAAGCUCUGUCUUCAGGGACGAUAAUGACGGUACCUGAGGAGGAAGCCACGGCUAACUACGUGCCAGCCGCCGC
Molecule: ribosomal RNA, 476 nt
Filed under: uncultured bacterium
Lineage: Bacteria
Description: bacterial SSU rRNA
Rfam family: Bacterial small subunit ribosomal RNA
Source: RNAcentral